UUGAACGCUGGCGGGAUGCUUUACACAUGCAAGUCGAACGGCAGCAUAGAGAGCUUGCUCUCUGAUGGCGAGUGGCGAACGGGUGAGUAAUAUAUCGGAACGUGCCCAGUAAUGGGGAAUAACUAGCCGAAAGGUUAGCUAAUACCGCAUACGACCUACGGGUGAAAGCAGGGGAUCUUAGGACCUUGCGUUAUUGGAGCGGCCGAUAUCUGAUUAGCUUGUUGGUGGGGUAAAAGCCUACCAAGGCAACGAUCAGUAGCUGGUCUGAGAGGACGAUCAGCCACACUGGAACUGAGACACGGUCCAGACUCCUACGGGAGGCAGCAGUGGGGAAUUUUGGACAAUGGGGGAAACCCUGAUCCAGCCAUCCCGCGUGAGUGAAGAAGGCCUUCGGGUUGUAAAGCUCUUUCGAAAGUGAAGAAAACUUAUUUCAUAAUAUGUUAUGAGUAUGACGGUAACUUUAGAAGAAGCACCGGCUAACUACGUGCCAGCAGCCGCGGUAAUACGUAGGGUGCGAGCGUUAAUCGGAAUUACUGGGCGUAAAGCGUGCGCAGGCGGUUUUGUAAGUCAGAUGUGAAAUCCCCGAGCUUAACUUGGGAACUGCGUUUGAAACUACAAGACUAGAGUGUGUCAGAGGGGGGUAGAAUUCCACGUGUAGCAGUGAAAUGCGUAGAGAUGUGGAGGAAUACCAAUGGCGAAGGCAGCCCCUGGGAUAACACUGA
RNAcentral lists this ribosomal RNA (722 nucleotides) under beta proteobacterium IMCC15197. Its description in RNAcentral is "bacterial SSU rRNA". It matches the Rfam family "Bacterial small subunit ribosomal RNA", at positions 29 to 743 of the family's 1533-position model. Lineage: Bacteria; Pseudomonadati; Pseudomonadota; Betaproteobacteria. The record is from RNAcentral.